UUUUGGCACAAACAGGUCCCUUUCCCUUCUUUAGUAUCUCUUUGGGGUAUAAGCCCAGUAGAAACACUGCUGGAUCAAAGGGGAUGCACAGUUUGAUAACUUUUUGAGCAUAGUGGGGAACUAAUUUUCAAUGAGUGUGGAGUUGAGAAUUUCUCAGGCAGAAAUAAAAUGUAUUUCUUUUAAUUUAGUAGAGAAGGUGGAGAUUGGGGAUAGUGGGGUAGUAGUGGAGCAAAGAUACUAUUUAUAUUAAAUGAAUCCAAACACUAUUGUAAGUGUUAACAAAAGAAUUCUUUGUGGGAGGCAGCUAAGUGAUGCAAUGGAUAGAGCACCAGCCCUGAAGUCAGGAGGACCUGAGUUCAAAUCUGACCUCAGACACUUAACACUUCCUAACUGUGUAAGCCUGGGCAAGUUACUUAACUAGAAUUGUCUCAGCAUCACAAAAAAUAAAGAAAGAAAGAAAGAAAGAAAGAAAGAAUUCUUCAUGUGAUUAUCAAUCACGCCACAAUUUGGUCCUCUCCUUAACCCCUAACUUCAUCAAAAGGUUUCAAUUCAAACUGAAGAGAAAUGAAGGGACUGAUGUGUGAGGAAGGGGUAGAGAAUAGUCUCUAAGAAUGUUCAGAUUCAAGGUAAGUAAUGGACAAACACAAUGUGUUUGACAAAAAUGUACUAAGAUGCACAUUUUCCACAAUAUGGGGUAUUUUUAUAUAUAACUUUUCCCAGCCAGUGAAUGAAAAUCAAAACUUUUUUUUGUUUUAUAAUAGAAUAUUUCAAUAUUUAAGCCAUCUAAACUUAUGCUUUAUUCUCAUCAGCCAAAAGCUUGUUAAUGAAUUUUUUCAAAAGCUCUAUUUGAAUGCUACAAAAGUGAAAGACAAGCUGUUAUAAAUGGGCUCUACGAUUCACAAAAAUGAAGCAACAACUAAUUAUUUACCAAAUGUAUUUUAUUUGGCCAACAAAGUUCAGACACAUGAACAGGAAAGCACGAAACUCAGCUACAAGUUCGUGCAGCUAUCUUCAGUCUCUCAGGCAAUGGCAAUUGCAGUCACAUUAUUGAGCAGGCAGUUUUCUAAGUUUUCCUUUGUUUGAACAUACAUUAAUGAAUAGCAAUUGGUACAUACAUAUAAUCCUUGGGAAUAAUUACAUUUCAAAUGAUCUCCUGUUAAGUUGCUUCUCAUACUCCCCCAAAAUUAAAUGUUAGUGAUUUCUAAGGAACUUUUAAGCUUACUAAUCAAGAAAACUUUUCUCACUAAUU
This is a long non-coding RNA of Antechinus flavipes (yellow-footed antechinus), 1249 nucleotides long. RefSeq lists it as uncharacterized. Lineage: Eukaryota; Metazoa; Chordata; Mammalia; Dasyuromorphia; Dasyuridae. The record is from RefSeq and is a predicted model, not a curated record. The transcript is spliced from 2 exons.